CUUCAAUGAUUUUUUAAAUUGCUGUGGUAUUUUGACUAUACAAAGGUAUUGUAAUAAGACUUUAAUUGAGUGCUAAAAGAAUGGAAUUACAAAAAAAGGCUUUUUUAAUUUUAAAAAUUAAAAUUAUUUUUUUUUGUGAAGAAACAAAAAUUUAAAUUAAAGACAAGAAGACCCUAAGAAUUUUUUUUUUUAUUAAAAUAAUAUUUUAUUUUAAAAAUUUAAUUGGGGCGAUUAAUUAAUAUUAAAAACUUUAUUAACAAAAAAAAUGAUCCAUUAUUAAUGAUUAUUUGAUUAAAAUACUCUAGGGAUAACAGCGUAAUAAUUUUUGAUAGUUCUUAUAGAAAAAAUAGUUUGCGACCUCGAUGUUGGAUUAGGAUUCUUUCUUAAUGAAGAAGUAACAACAGAAG
This 407-nucleotide ribosomal RNA is filed under the name Amblyomma dissimile (iguana tick). Its description in RNAcentral is "partial 16S ribosomal RNA". Lineage: Eukaryota; Metazoa; Arthropoda; Arachnida; Ixodida; Ixodidae. The record is from RNAcentral.